AUUGAACGCUGGCGGCAGGCUUAACACAUGCAAGUCGAGCGGAGAUGAGGUGCUUGCACCUUAUCUUAGCGGCGGACGGGUGAGUAAUGCUUAGGAAUCUGCCUAUUAGUGGGGGACAACAUUCCGAAAGGAAUGCUAAUACCGCAUACGUCCUACGGGAGAAAAGCAGGGGAUCUUCGGACCUUGCGCUAAUAGAUGAGCCUAAGUCGGAUUAGCUAGUUGGUGGGGUAAAGGCCUACCAAGGCGACGAUCUGUAGCGGGUCUGAGAGGAUGAUCCGCCACACUGGGACUGAGACACGGCCCAGACUCCUACGGGAGGCAGCAGUGGGGAAUAUUGGACAAUGGGGGGAACCCUGAUCCAGCCAUGCCGCGUGUGUGAAGAAGGCCUUAUGGUUGUAAAGCACUUUAAGCGAGGAGGAGGCUACUGAGACUAAUACUCUUGGAUGGUGGACGUUACUCGCAGAAUAAGCACCGGCUAACUCUGUG
RNAcentral lists this ribosomal RNA (486 nucleotides) under uncultured bacterium. Its description in RNAcentral is "bacterial SSU rRNA". It matches the Rfam family "Bacterial small subunit ribosomal RNA", at positions 30 to 507 of the family's 1533-position model. The record is from RNAcentral.